AGAGUUUGAUCAUGGCUCAGGACGAACGCUGGCGGCGUGCCUAAUACAUGCAAGUCGAGCGAACCGAAGGGAGCUUGCUCCUUUAGGUUAGCGGCGGACGGGUGAGUAACACGUGGGCAACCUGCCCUGCAGACUGGGAUAACUUCGGGAAACCGGAGCUAAUACCGGAUAACACCGAAAACCGCAUGGUUUUCGGUUGAAAGGCGGCUUUUAGCUGUCACUGCAGGAUGGGCCCGCGGCGCAUUAGCUAGUUGGUGAGGUAACGGCUCACCAAGGCGACGAUGCGUAGCCGACCUGAGAGGGUGACCGGCCACACUGGGACUGAGACACGGCCCAGACUCCUACGGGAGGCAGCAGUAGGGAAUCUUCCGCAAUGGACGAAAGUCUGACGGAGCAACGCCGCGUGAGCGAAGAAGGUCUUCGGAUCGUAAAGCUCUGUUGUCAGGGAAGAACAAGUACCGUUCGAAC
RNAcentral lists this ribosomal RNA (468 nucleotides) under Bacillus sp. N-0-55-9. RNAcentral's name for it is "bacterial SSU rRNA". It matches the Rfam family "Bacterial small subunit ribosomal RNA", at positions 8 to 465 of the family's 1533-position model. The record is from RNAcentral. Lineage: Bacteria; Bacillati; Bacillota; Bacilli; Caryophanales; Bacillaceae.